GAGAAUUUUAUGUCAAUAUAAGAAAGAAAAAGAAAGACCAGUGAAAUAUGAUAGAAAGAUCUCACCGAUGGAAGCAGAUCAAUGUCAGAACCAUUGACGAUGAAAUCUAUACCCUGAGGCACAUACCCUCUCCCUGCCACCAGAGUGGCCAACCAAGUCCUGCUGCUGGAAUGAAAGAACCUUCACACACACACACGUUUGCCAUACAAAAGUGAUGAAGAUAUACUACAAGAAGCAUA
This 239-nucleotide long non-coding RNA is filed under the name Crocodylus porosus (Australian saltwater crocodile). Its description in RNAcentral is "lncRNA (ENSCPRG00005013475.1)". The record is from RNAcentral. Lineage: Eukaryota; Metazoa; Chordata; Crocodylia; Crocodylidae.